This 272-nucleotide ribosomal RNA is filed under the name Escherichia coli. RNAcentral describes it as "partial 16S ribosomal RNA". It matches the Rfam family "Bacterial small subunit ribosomal RNA", at positions 1262 to 1533 of the family's 1533-position model. RNAcentral also lists the same sequence under 4 other names. The record is from RNAcentral. Lineage: Bacteria; Pseudomonadati; Pseudomonadota; Gammaproteobacteria; Enterobacterales; Enterobacteriaceae.
AGCAAGCGGACCUCAUAAAGUGCGUCGUAGUCCGGAUUGGAGUCUGCAACUCGACUCCAUGAAGUCGGAAUCGCUAGUAAUCGUGGAUCAGAAUGCCACGGUGAAUACGUUCCCGGGCCUUGUACACACCGCCCGUCACACCAUGGGAGUGGGUUGCAAAAGAAGUAGGUAGCUUAACCUUCGGGAGGGCGCUUACCACUUUGUGAUUCAUGACUGGGGUGAAGUCGUAACAAGGUAACCGUAGGGGAACCUGCGGUUGGAUCACCUCCUUA